RNAcentral lists this transfer RNA (63 nucleotides) under Leptocorisa oratoria. Its description in RNAcentral is "tRNA-Thr". Lineage: Eukaryota; Metazoa; Arthropoda; Insecta; Hemiptera; Alydidae. The record is from RNAcentral.
AUAGUUUAAAAAAAAACAUUGAUUUUGUAAAUCAAAGAUGGAAACACCUUUAAAUUAAGGACU